Molecule: ribosomal RNA, 494 nt
Filed under: uncultured bacterium
Lineage: Bacteria
Description: partial 16S ribosomal RNA
Rfam family: Bacterial small subunit ribosomal RNA
Source: RNAcentral
GACGAACGCUGGCGGCGUGCUUAACACAUGCAAGUCGAACGGUGAAGCGCCUUCCUUUUUGGUGGGUGUGGAUGAGUGGCGAACGGGUGAGUAACACGUGAGUAACCUGCCCCCUUCUUCUGGAUAACCGCAUGAAAGUGUGGCUAAUACGGGAUAUUCUGGGUCUGUCGCAUGAUGGGUCUGGGAAAGAUAUUGUUUCGGUGGGGGAUGGGCUCGCGGCCUAUCAGCUUGUUGGUGGGGUGAUGGCCUACCAAGGCGGUGACGGGUAGCCGGCCUGAGAGGGUGGACGGUCACACUGGGACUGAGACACGGCCCAGACUCAUACGGGAGGCAGCAGUGGGGAAUAUUGCACAAUGGGCGCAAGCCUGAUGCAGCGACGCCGCGCGAGGGAUGGAGGCCUUCGGGUUGUGAACCUCUUUCGCCAGUGAAGCAGGCCUGCCUCGUUUGUGGGUGGGUUGACGGUAGCUGGAUAAGAAGCGCCGGCUAACUACGUG